RNAcentral lists this ribosomal RNA (118 nucleotides) under uncultured bacterium. RNAcentral describes it as "partial 16S ribosomal RNA". It matches the Rfam family "Bacterial small subunit ribosomal RNA", at positions 1384 to 1501 of the family's 1533-position model. The record is from RNAcentral.
UACACACCGCCCGUCACACCAUGGGAGUGGGUUGCACCAGAAGUAGCUAGUCUAACCUUCGGGAGGACGGUUACCACGGUGUGAUUCAUGACUGGGGUGAAGUCGUAACAAGGUACCC